UACAGAGGGUGCAAGCGUUAAUCGGAAUUAUUGGGCGUAAAGGGCGCGUAGACGGGUGAUUAAGCGGACGGUGAAAGGCAUGGGCUCAACCUGUGUAAGCCGUCUGAACUGGUGACCUAGAGGUCAGGAGAGGGGAGUGGAAUUCUCGAAGUAGCGGUGAAAUGCGUAGAUAUCGGGAGGAACACCGGUGGCGAAGGCGACUCUCUGGCCUGAACCUGACGUUGAGGCGCGAAAGCGUGGGGAGCAAACAGG
This 252-nucleotide unclassified non-coding RNA is filed under the name uncultured Gammaproteobacteria bacterium. RNAcentral's name for it is "contains 16S-23S intergenic spacer region". It matches the Rfam family "Bacterial small subunit ribosomal RNA", at positions 524 to 776 of the family's 1533-position model. The record is from RNAcentral. Lineage: Bacteria; Pseudomonadati; Pseudomonadota; Gammaproteobacteria.